This 253-nucleotide ribosomal RNA is filed under the name uncultured bacterium. RNAcentral's name for it is "partial 16S ribosomal RNA". It matches the Rfam family "Bacterial small subunit ribosomal RNA", at positions 524 to 776 of the family's 1533-position model. The record is from RNAcentral.
UACGAAGGGGGCUAGCGUUGCUCGGAAUCACUGGGCGUAAAGCGCACGUAGGCGGAUUGCUAAGUCAGGGGUGAAAUCCUGGAGCUCAACUCCAGAACUGCCUUUGAUACUGGCGAUCUUGAGUCCGGGAGAGGUGAGUGGAACUGCGAGUGUAGAGGUGAAAUUCGUAGAUAUUCGCAAGAACACCAGUGGCGAAGGCGGCUCACUGGCCCGAUACUGACGCUGAGGCACGAAAGCGUGGGGAGCAAGCAGG